UACGAAGGGUGCAAGCGUUGUUCGGAAUUAUUGGGCGUAAAGGGUUCGUAGGCGGAACUGUAAGUCAAGUGUGAAAUCCCGGGGCUCAACCUCGGAACUGCCCUUGAAACUGGAAGGCUAGAAUCCUGGAGAGGCGAGUGGAAUUCCGAGUGUAGAGGUGAAAUUCGUAGAUAUUCGGAAGAACACCAGUGGCGAAGGCGACUCGCUGGACAGGUAUUGACGCUGAGGUGCGAAAGCGUGGGGAGCAAACAGGAUUAGAAACCCGUGUAGU
This 271-nucleotide ribosomal RNA is filed under the name uncultured bacterium. Its description in RNAcentral is "partial 16S ribosomal RNA". It matches the Rfam family "Bacterial small subunit ribosomal RNA", at positions 524 to 794 of the family's 1533-position model. The record is from RNAcentral.